AACGAACGCUGGCGGCAGGCUUAACACAUGCAAGUCGAACGCCCCGCAAGGGGAGUGGCAGACGGGUGAGUAACGCGUGGGAACAUACCCUUUUCUACGGAAUAGCUCUGGGAAACUGGAAUUAAUACCGUAUACGCCCUACGGGGGAAAGAUUUAUCGGGGAAGGAUUGGCCCGCGUUGGAUUAGCUAGUUGGUGGGGUAAAGGCCUACCAAGGCGACGAUCCAUAGCUGGUCUGAGAGGAUGAUCAGCCACAUUGGGACUGAGACACGGCCCAAACUCCUACGGGAGGCAGCAGUAGGGAAUAUUGGACAAUGGGCGCAAGCCUGAUCCAGCCAUGCCGCGUGAGUGAUGAAGGCCUUAGGGUUGUAAAGCUCUUUCACCGAUGAAGAUAAUGACGGUAGUCGGAGAAGAAGCCCCGGCUAACUUCGUG
This 431-nucleotide ribosomal RNA is filed under the name uncultured bacterium. RNAcentral's name for it is "partial 16S ribosomal RNA". It matches the Rfam family "Bacterial small subunit ribosomal RNA", at positions 29 to 507 of the family's 1533-position model. The record is from RNAcentral.